RNAcentral lists this long non-coding RNA (658 nucleotides) under Pongo abelii (Sumatran orangutan). RNAcentral's name for it is "lincRNA". Lineage: Eukaryota; Metazoa; Chordata; Mammalia; Primates; Hominidae. The record is from RNAcentral.
AGAAGCACAGCACCUGUGAAGCUUUCGGAAAUUAUCCCUCUGGCUCCAGCCCUUUCUAGAGACCUCCAGGCACAUCUCUGCAUGAAGGUUUCAGAGUCACUGGGUUUCCCAGGGCCUUCUCUUUGCUAGGAAUCUCUGAGACGCGCUCUGCAAGAUAAGUUGGCAGCAUCUCUGUGCCUCUGGUUUUGCCAGGCUCCACCAACAACCCGCUAAGAACUCUUCGUCCUCAAGUACACUGAGGGGAACCCCAGUGAAGGCCAAUGAGGGAAACCACACAUCACUGAGGGCCGACGGAGGCCCCCAAAGCCCAAAUCGCUGUGCUCCCCAGUAGGUCCCCAGACACCCUUAACACAGCUAUCUGCAGGAUUGAAUGAUUGCCAGGACCACACAAUUUACACUUGGCUGUCGUGGUCGGGAGGGGAGGACUGCGCCAGCAUGAGAAGACCAGAGAGCAAGGAAAUGGAAAUUUGGCGAGAUCCUGUGGCUGCUAUUGGUGGCUGCAGCCAGACAGGAAAACUGAGAUGGUGUGAGCAGAAAGGGCUGGAAGGAGUUGGCUUUUUCCAAGAAAUUACAGCAGAAUCUUCUUCCAAGAGGCUGGGGGCCUCUGCAGACAUGAUCUCAUUACUCACGCCCCAGAUCCCCCCGGCUUCCCUAUGGA